RNAcentral lists this ribosomal RNA (446 nucleotides) under uncultured bacterium. Its description in RNAcentral is "partial 16S ribosomal RNA". It matches the Rfam family "Bacterial small subunit ribosomal RNA", at positions 338 to 795 of the family's 1533-position model. The record is from RNAcentral.
CCUACGGGGGGCAGCAGUCGAGAAUCAUUCACAAUGGGGGAAACCCUGAUGGUGCGACGCCGCGUGGGGGAAUGAAGGUCUUCGGAUUGUAAACCCCUGUCAUGUGGGAGCAAAUUAAAAAGAUAGUACCACACGAGGAAGAGACGGCUAACUCUGUGCCAGCAGCCGCGGUAAUACAGAGGGCGCAAGCGUUGUUCGGAAUCACUGGGCGUAAAGCGUGCGUAGGCUGUUUCGUAAGUCGUGUGUGAAAGGCGCGGGCUCAACCCGCGGACGGCACAUGUUACUGCGAGGCUAGAGUAAGGGAGGGGGAGCCGGAAUUCUCGGUGUAGCAGUGAAAUGCGUAGAUAUCGAGAAGAACACUCGUGGCGAAGGCAGGUUCCUGGACAUUAACUGACGCUGAGGCACGAAGGCCAGGGGAGCGAAAGGGAUUAGAUACCCGGGUAGUC